This 711-nucleotide ribosomal RNA is filed under the name uncultured Glomeromycotina. RNAcentral describes it as "eukaryotic LSU rRNA". It matches the Rfam family "Eukaryotic large subunit ribosomal RNA", at positions 58 to 644 of the family's 3401-position model. Lineage: Eukaryota; Fungi; Glomeromycota. The record is from RNAcentral.
AAAGAAAAUAACAAUGAUUCCCUUAGUAACGGCGAGUGAAGGGGGAAAAGCUCAAAUUUUAAAUCUGACUGGUUAUACUUAUCAGAGUUGUAAUUUGAAGAAGCGUUUUCCGCGUCUCGGUUGGCCCAAGUCCUUUGGGAUAAGGCAUCAUGGAGGGUGAGAAUCCCGUUCGGUUGACCUUAUGACGUUUUACGAUACGCUUUCAAAGAGUCGAGUUGUUUGGGAUUGCAGCUCAAAAUGGGAGGUAAAUUUCUCCUAAGGCUAAAUAUUGGCGAGAGACCGAUAGCGAACAAGUACCGUGAGGGAAAGAUGAAAAGAACUUUGAAAAGAGAGUAAAAUAGUACGUGAAAUUGUUGAAAGGGAAACGAUUGAAGUCAGUCGUACCGACGAGAAAUCAGCUCUUCGAGUGUUAACCUGUGGGCGUGCGUGAGUCUUUAACGGGCCUCGCUGUUUGCAUGUUUGUGCUUUUUGGGUGUACUUUUUCGUAUGGUUGGCCAACGUCAGUUUCGUUCACCAUAAAAUGAUCAGGGGAAUGUAGCUUCGAUCUCGUAUUGAAGUGUUAUAGACUUUGGUAGAUGUGGUGAUCGAGACUGAGGAUUGCAACGAAUACCCUUCGGGCUAUCCGUCUGGCCUCUGAAAGUUGCCUAGGUGCCGAAAGCUUGCUUACGGUCGUCUAAGGUAGCGGUCAAAAGGUUAGAACGUGAUUACAUU